AUGGUCUUAAUUGAUGACGUAUGGUCUGCAUCGCUGCUGGAUAGUAUUAUAAAUGCACUUCCAACUGGUGAAGAAAGCAAAAUAAUAGUUACUACACGGUUUCAUGAUGUUGCUACAACACAAAGAGAAGUCGACAUUCGUAAAGUUCGUGGUCUUGUUGAAGAAGAAUCCAAGAAGUUGUUUAUGCAGGCGUACAAUGAGUCCAAAGGAAGCAAAGAUCCUACUCCAACAUCUAAGAGAAAAGAAGGCAGGAAAGAUGGUCUAUUUCCAGAGCAAGUAUGGAAGAUUUGCAAGGGGAUGCCAUUGGCCAUAAUUACAAUGGCUGGUCUUGUGGCCUGCAACCCAGGCAAAGAGCAUCAGUAUUGGGAGAAAGUUUGCAAAGAUAUAUUUCCAGAAUCAGCGAAAACUGGUGCGGAAGAUCUUACACAGGAGGAAGUGGCCAGGCUCAUUAGCCAUUGCUAUGACGACAUGCCUGCUGAAAUCCAGACUUGCUCACUGUAUUUGAGCAUAUUUCCCAAGGGGUACAAAAUCAGCAGGAAACGCUUAACAAGGCGAUGGAUAGCUGAAGGUAUAGUCUGUGAGAAAGACGGGCUGGGUGUGGAUGUUAUUGCGGAGACAUACUUCAAUCAUCUCAUAAGGAGGAAGAUCAUCCAACCAGUAGAGCAUAACGGUAAUGGAAAGGUGAAGAAAUGUGCAGUUCACGAUAUGGUUCUUGAGCUCAUUGUGAGGAAGGCAAGUGAAGAGAAUUUCAUCACUGUGGUUGGUGGUAACUGGUUCAUGCAACUUCCCAGCAGCAAGGUCCGUCGGCUGUCCAUCCAAGACAGUGAUUCCAAACAUGCAAAGGAUACCGAGAAGAUGAAUUUGUCUCAUGUCAGGUCACUGACCAUCUUCGGGAGCUUGAAGAAACAACUCUCUUCCCAUUCGUUUAAGUUUGGAAUUGUACAGGUCCUCGAUCUUGAAGGCUGCAAGGAUGUUAAACAACACCAUAUAAGUGAGAUAUGUGAAAUGUUUCUUCUCAAAUAUCUCAGCCUCAGAAAAACAUACACCAACCAACUUCCUGAUAACAUUGGAAAGCUUAAGAGCCUUGAGACGCUGGACAUAAGGGAGACAGAAGUUGUCGAGUUGCCUAAAGCUGUAAGCCAGCUUGAAUGUUUAGUUAACAUACUUGGAGGGGAUAAAGCAACACGGAAGGCAUUGAGGCUUCCUGGAGAUUUCAAGAAGAAAAUAAAGGCACUGCAAAUACUAUCAGGGGUUGAGGUUGUUGAGGGAUCAUCGGACCUUCAUCAUUUGACCAAGCUUAGGAAGCUUGCUAUCUACAAGCUCAAAACCAUGGUCACUGAUGCCAGUUUAGAGAAGUUAAGGUCCUCCAUUGAGUACCUAGGUGGCUGCUCUCUGCAGACCCUAAUAAUUGAUGAUGAGUCAUCUGAUUUUGUCAAAUCACUGGAUGGUUUGUCAUCUCCUCCAAGAUUCCUUGUUGCCCUUGAGUUAUCUGGGAAGAUGAUGAAGCUCCCCAAGUGGAUCACACAACUGAAUGUUCUGAACAAGUUAACCCUUUCAUUGACAGCCUUCCGGACAGAUAACUUGAAGGACCUCAGUGAACUAAAAGCGUUGUUUUCUCUCACAUUCUGUUUUAGGGCCAAACAACAGGACCGACAAACACUGAGUAUUAUUGCGAAAAACAAGAUGUACUCCGACGGGCAGAUCACGGUACCAGAUAGUGGAUUCAAGAGUCUAAAACUUAUGUGCCUCUCUGGUCCUAUAUUGCCACUUCUGAGAUUUUCAAGGAAGGCCAUGCCAGAGCUAGAAAGGCUUGAGAUUAGGUACAACAUGCUGGAGGGCAUUCUUGGUGCAGAAAACCUUGAGAAGCUGAAAGAGUUUCAUUUGACAUCAACCGACGAAGAAGAGGACCAUCUAACGACCAAGGAGAUUGUAAGUGAGCUGUGUAAAUUGAAGAGGAUUGACGGCACAACGCCCAGGGUGAUCCUUCACCAGCGACCGGUUAUAGUGAAACCAAAGUCCGGGUGA
RNAcentral lists this ribosomal RNA (2025 nucleotides) under Triticum aestivum (bread wheat). Its description in RNAcentral is "partial small subunit ribosomal RNA". The record is from RNAcentral. Lineage: Eukaryota; Viridiplantae; Streptophyta; Magnoliopsida; Poales; Poaceae.